AAGUCGAGCGGAAAGGCCCUUCGGGGUACUCGAGCGGCGAACGGGUGAGUAACACGUGAGUAAUCUGCCCCAGGCUCUGGGAUAGCCACCGGAAACGGUGAUUAAUACCGGAUACGACAACCGAUUGCAUGAUCUGGUUGUGGAAAGUUUUUCGGCCUGGGAUGUGCUCGCGGCCUAUCAGCUUGUUGGUGAGGUAAUGGCUCACCAAGGCUUCGACGGGUAGCCGGCCUGAGAGGGUGACCGGCCACACUGGGACUGAGACACGGCCCAGACUCCUACGGGAGGCAGCAGUGGGGAAUAUUGGACAAUGGGCGGAAGCCUGAUCCAGCAACGCCGCGUGAGGGAUGACGGCCUUCGGGUUGUAAACCUCUUUCAGCACAGACGAAGCGCAAGUGACGGUAUGUGCAGAAGAAGGACCGGCCAACUACGUGCCAGCAGCCGCGGUAAUACGUAGGGUCCGAGCGUUGUCCGGAAUUAUUGGGCGUAAAGGGCUCGUAGGCGGUCUGUCGCGUCGGGAGUGAAAACCAGGUGCUUAACACCUGGCCUGCUUUCGAUACGGGCAGACUAGAGGUACUCAGGGGAGAAUGGAAUUCCUGGUGUAGCGGUGAAAUGCGCAGAUAUCAGGAGGAACACCGGUGGCGAAGGCGGUUCUCUGGGAGUAUCCUGACGCUGAGGAGCGAAAGUGUGGGGAGCGAACAGGAUUAGAUACCCUGGUAGUCCACACCGUAAACGUUGGGCGCUAGGUGUGGGACACAUUCCACGUGUUCCGUGCCGCAGCUAACGCAUUAAGCGCCCCGCCUGGGGAGUACGGCCGCAAGGCUAAAACUCAAGGAAUUGACGGGGGCCCGCACAAGCGGCGGAGCAUGCGGAUUAAUUCGAUGCAACGCGAAGAACCCUUACCUGGGUUUGACAUACACCGGAAAGCCGUAGAGAUACGGGCCCCUUUUUAGUCGGUGUAACAGUGGUGGCAUGGCUGUCGUCAGCUCGUGUCGUGAGAUUGUU
RNAcentral lists this ribosomal RNA (1002 nucleotides) under bacterium EFC012. Its description in RNAcentral is "bacterial SSU rRNA". It matches the Rfam family "Bacterial small subunit ribosomal RNA", at positions 59 to 1077 of the family's 1533-position model. RNAcentral also lists the same sequence under 1 other name. The record is from RNAcentral.